This 1762-nucleotide long non-coding RNA is filed under the name Homo sapiens (human). RNAcentral's name for it is "long independently transcribed non-coding RNA 930 (LINC00930)". The record is from RNAcentral. Lineage: Eukaryota; Metazoa; Chordata; Mammalia; Primates; Hominidae.
CAUUCCCACUGACUCAGAUGCUGAGGGGCCAGACUGAAGGGACAGUGGCCAUUGCAUCAAGUCAGAGAACGGAUCUGACCCAUCUAGUAGAAGCUUAUUGUUUUGGCAGAAGCACAAGCUCUUAGAGGUGCAGCUGCAGGGUGUGACCUAUUGGGGACAUUGAGCUCAGUGACCAUGGGCCCUGAGAGUCUGAAAUCCUGGAAUUUCUCCCAAAACGAAGUCCAUGUAGGGAAGCCAAAGUGUGAGUCUUACCCGGCUGGUUUACAACUGACUGACAUUUGCUGCCUGGGCAGCUGUUGUGGGUGCCUGGAAACCCUAUUGGACUAGGACUGGCCCCGGCAAAAAACAAGUGUUAUAGCUGCCCAGUGUCCUCUGAGUGGAUGCUGGUGAUUCUGGUAUGGAGCCCAGAUGUAAGGCAGCAGGUGGUCCAGAAGGCACCAGAAGAGGUCUCCUGUCAAAGUCAGGGCCAGAGAAGAAGGCACAGGGAACCUACUGCACGAGACUUUCACUUGCAACGAGCAACCCAUGAUGAGGAGGGAGGAUUCCUGGGGGCAUUGAGUCCCCCAGACACAAGGACCCAAGACCUUCUUGCUUGGAAAGUGAAUUCCUCAGAAUUCCGAGAUGAUGCCAGUCUUGGAGGAAGAUGACAUGAGGACCCAAAACCUUCUUGCUUGGAAAGUGAAUUCCUGAGAAUUCCGAGAUGAUGCCAGUCUUGGAGAAAGAUGACAUGAGGACCCAAAACCUUCUUGCUUGGAAAGUGAAUUCCUCAAAACUCCACAAAGACUCCAGUCUUGGAGGAAGAUGACAUGAGGACCCAAAACCUUCUUGCUUGGAAAGUGAAUUCCUCAGAACUCCACGAAGACUCCAGUCUUGGAGGAAGACGAGGUGUUGAGAGAUAGCUGGGAUCCCUGAGGAAGGCAGCCCCAGUCUCCGGUGGAGAAUUAAGAGGGGCCCAAGCAGAUGGUUGGUGGUGGAAACGUCACCUCAGUAUAGUACUAUGGAGUUUCCUUUCACCCCCAACAGCCGACGGUUUCCAGGGGCGAAGAGUGAAAAUUGAAGCAAGGUGUCUACUGUCCAGCGGUAGACAAGGAGGCAGUGCGCCUGCCACCCCCAAGGAAGAGUCAGUUCAGAAGCACAGCAGCUGCUGGAAACCCAGGAGGUUUCCAGUUCGUUCCUGCUGGGACCUGGCAAGAACUGCACUGUCAAGGCUGCAAGAGGCUCCUGACGGCUUCUGACAUGUACAGAAUGGAAUAAGAGAACCUAGCAGAAAUGGAAGCAGAGGCAAGAGGUCUGGAGGCCAGGAAAAUGUCAAUGGAAAGCAGCUAGCAUGAAGACCCCACAGUGUUCCUCCCUCUAGUAGUCUGGUAUUAUUUGGAGCUGAGAUGCUCCCAAUAUGGUUGGGACAUUUGUCCCCUCCAAAUCUCAUGUGAGAAUUUGAUCCCCCAUUUUGGGGAUGGGGUCUAAUGGGAGGAGUUUGGGUCAUGACGGGGGACCCCUCAAGAAUGGCUUUGUGCCCUGCUCACCAGGAAUGAAUGAGCUCUCACUCUACUAGUUCACUGGAGAGCUGGUUUUUUAAAGAGCCUGGCGUCUCCCCAACUUUCUCUCUUGCUCCCCCUUCUCACUGUGUGAUAUACCUGCUCCCCUUUGCCAUCCAUCAUGAGUGGAAGCUUCUUGAAGCCUCCACCUAAAGCAGAUGCCGACACUAUGCUUCCUGCACAGCCUGCCAUACCAUGAGCCAAUAAACCUGUUUUCUUUGUAAAUU